ACUGCUAUCGGAUUGAUACUAAGCCAUGCGAGUCUUUGUAGCAAUACAAGGCAGACGGCUCAGUAACACGUAGUCAAUCUACCCUAUGGACGGGGAUAACCUCGGGAAACUGAGAAUAAUACCCGAUAGAUCAUUAUGCCUGGAAUGGUUUAUGGUCGAAAUGAUUUAUCGCCGUAGGAUGGGACUGCGGUCUAUCAGCUUGUUGGUGAGGUAAUGGCCCACCAAGGCUAUAACAGAUACGGGCUCUGAGAGGAGAAGCCCGGAGAUGGGUACUGAGACACGGACCCAGGCCCUAUGGGGCGCAGCAGGCGAGAAAACUUUGCAAUGUGCGAAAGCACGACAAGGUUAAUCCGAGUGUUUUCUGCUAAAGAAAUCUUUUGUCAGUCCUAAAAACACUGAUGAAUAAGGGGUGGGCAAGUUCUGGUGUCAGCCGCCGCGGUAAAACCAGCACCUCAAGUGGUCAGGAGGAUUAUUGGGCCUAAAGCAUCCGUAGCCGGCCGUGUAAGUUUUCGGUUAAAUCUAUACGCUCAACGUAUAGGCUGCCGGGAAUACUGCACAGCUAGGGAGUGGGAGAGGUAGACGGUACUCGGUAGGAAGGGGUAAAAUCCUUUGAUCUAUUGAUGACCACCUGUGGCGAAGGCGGUCUACUAGAACACGUCCGACGGUGAGGGAUGAAAGCUGGGGGAGCAAACCGGAUUAGAUACCCGGGUAGUCCCAGCUGUAAACAAUGCAAACUCAGUGAUGCACUGGCUUGUGGCCAGUGCAGUGCCGCAGGGAAGCCGUUAAGUUUGCCGCCUGGGAAGUACGUACGCAAGUAUGAAACUUAAAGGAAUUGGCGGGGGAGCACCACAAGGGGUGAAG
RNAcentral lists this ribosomal RNA (861 nucleotides) under uncultured archaeon. RNAcentral describes it as "bacterial SSU rRNA". It matches the Rfam family "Archaeal small subunit ribosomal RNA", at positions 26 to 893 of the family's 1478-position model. The record is from RNAcentral.